UGACUGCAUGAACUGUUGAAGGAGUUUCAUGCCUCGUGUACUGAGCAUGAGCUUCUCUUCCAUGACUGUGCGGCAA
This 76-nucleotide microRNA precursor is filed under the name Capitella teleta. RNAcentral describes it as "microRNA cte-mir-2698 precursor". Lineage: Eukaryota; Metazoa; Annelida; Polychaeta; Capitellidae. The record is from miRBase by way of RNAcentral.